Molecule: long non-coding RNA, 1615 nt
Organism: Astatotilapia calliptera (eastern happy)
Lineage: Eukaryota; Metazoa; Chordata; Actinopteri; Cichliformes; Cichlidae
Source: Ensembl
CUCCCACAAGCCCAGAAGUUGCUCUCUUCAGGUCUCAGAUCUUUACAGACUGUUGUUAAAAGAGUGGAUGUUACACAGUACUAAACAUGGUCCUGUCCAGACUUUUGUUGAGCCUUUCACUUCCAAAUAACCUUUUUUUUUUCUUAAAAUGGUGUAUUUUCUUAUGUAAACAUUCAUAUUUUCUGUGCUCUACUGUGAAUAAAAUAUGGGCUUAUAAGAUUUGGAAAUCAAUGUAUUCUGUUUUACUUACAUUUUACUGCACUGUCCCAUUUUGGAGGGGGGGGGGGGGGGGGGGAUUUGGAUUGGAUGUAGUUAACCACUGCAAAACUUUAGAAACUUCAGACUUUAGAAGGUCCAUGCCAGGACAAAAGUGUCGACCACCUAUUUAAGAUCUUUUGAAGUGACAUAACUUUUCACAUAACUUUAAAAAGCUUUAAGCUCAUAUUCUUCUCAAUUUUUUGCUCACAGUGUAUCAAUUUUUCCAACAUAACGUUUUAUUUUUAAUGUUUUUCUUUCAAUUUUUAUCACUUUUUUCAUUUUUCUUUUCUUUUUUUUUUUUGGCAGAGACAGGCCAUAAAAACCACAAAACCAAGAAGUCAGAGAUUCAUUAAAAACAGCUGAAGUGUAAAUGUUUGUACUCCAAGAGUGGAGAACCAAGAUUGACCUUAAAGACUGACAAUGAUGAUGAUGAGACACAACAUGAGUCAUGACCUUUUUAAAAUUUAUUGUUAUAUAUAUGUAUGUAUGAAUAUACUGGUGCCAUAUUCAUCAUAUGUCCCUUGUAUUAGGUGUUCACAUCAUAUGCAGUCAGUGUUUCUAAAGCAUUACGUUGUCGUCGCUUAUUUUUUAUUUAUUUAUUCUUACUGUGGCUGUGCAUUUUGUAAUUACACAUAGUGCCUUUUUAAUCUUUUAAAAAAUAUUUUAGUUUCUCUCCGUGAUGAAGCUUUAAUCUCCGCCACAUGUCCCAACGCUUAAAAAAAAUCAGAUCAAUUACCAAGUCACAUCCAGUCAUGCCACAUUUUUUUCCGGCCCUUCACGCAUAAAAACCCAAAUUCAAUUUAAAGCGAGCAUCUGUCUGUUACCACGGUCGAAGAGUAUAGCGUGUGUAUGGCGGACAGGUUAAUGCAUGUGUGCACGCAAGUGUGUAAGAGUGCGAAAGACAGGAAGAGAGAGAGGAAGACUGUGUGUGUGUUUGUGUGUCUGCGAGUGUGUAAUUAAAACAAGUGAACCACCCCCCACCUUUUUUUCUUUUUUUUACACACAGAUUAUCCCUCCAUCCCAGCUGGUCAGAGUUGGAUUUGACCACCCGACAACGAGAGAGAGGAAAUCUCUUUGGAGCUAAAUCCAAAUUGGCACCCUUGAUUUUUUUUUUUUUUUUUAGCAAACUGAAAAUGUUGGCGUGUUUAAACAAUGAAUUUGACACUAAUAUCUAAAACAUAUUAAGUAGAAAAACACACUGACGUCUCGAGGUAUGAACACUGUAAAACUGGUUUUGUAGUUAGUUUUUGUGGCUCUUCAAAGUAUUGCUAAAUUUUUCGCAUGUGUUAUAAAUCUCCCAUCACUGUGUGAUCACAUCACAUCACUGACACAUGAGUCUGUGUCAGAAUGAAAAAAC